UACGUAGGUGGCGAGCGUUAUCCGGAAUGAUUGGGCGUAAAGGGUGCGUAGGCGGCCUGCUAAGUCUGGAGUGAAAGGUACCGGCUCAACCGGUACAGGCUCUGGAAACUGGCGGGCUAGAGAGCAGGAGAGGGCGGUGGAACUCCAUGUGUAGCGGUAAAAUGCGUAGAUAUAUGGAAGAACACCAAUGGCGAAGGCAGGUCUCUGGGCCGUUACUGACGCUGAGGAGCGAAAGCGUGGGGAGCGAACAGG
This 252-nucleotide ribosomal RNA is filed under the name uncultured bacterium. RNAcentral describes it as "partial 16S ribosomal RNA". It matches the Rfam family "Bacterial small subunit ribosomal RNA", at positions 524 to 776 of the family's 1533-position model. The record is from RNAcentral.